Molecule: ribosomal RNA, 429 nt
Filed under: Bacteroidota bacterium
Lineage: Bacteria; Pseudomonadati; Bacteroidota
Description: Bacteroidetes bacterium partial 16S ribosomal RNA
Rfam family: Bacterial small subunit ribosomal RNA
Source: RNAcentral
UAGGGAAUCUUCCGCAAUGGACGCAAGUCUGACGGAGCAACGCCGCGUGAGUGAAGAAGGAUUUCGGUUCGUAAAACUCUGUUGUUAGAGAAGAACAGCGCAUAGAGUAACUGUUAUGCUUGUGACGGUAUCUAACCAGAAAGCCACGGCUAACUACGUGCCAGCAGCCGCGGUAAUACGUAGGUGGCAAGCGUUGUCCGGAUUUAUUGGGCGUAAAGCGAGCGCAGGCGGUCAAUUAAGUCUGAUGUGAAAGCCCCCGGCUCAACCGGGGAGGGUCAUUGGAAACUGGUUGACUUGAGUACAGAAGAGGGGAGUGGAAUUCCAUGUGUAGCGGUGAAAUGCGUAGAUAUAUGGAGGAACACCGGUGGCGAAAGCGGCUCUCUGGUCUGUAACUGACGCUGAGGCUCGAAAGCGUGGGGAGCGAACAGG